Small nucleolar RNA from Perognathus longimembris pacificus (Pacific pocket mouse), 138 nucleotides. RefSeq annotates it as small nucleolar RNA SNORA8. The record is from RefSeq and is a predicted model, not a curated record. Lineage: Eukaryota; Metazoa; Chordata; Mammalia; Rodentia; Heteromyidae. The transcript has a single exon.
UUCCCUGUGUGUGGUCGUACCCCACAGCUAACUCCUGCUGGCCUGUUCAAAUGACAGUGCCCUAGAAAGCCAGUAUCUGGCAUUGUCAGCUUUCUUGGCUUUGUGCAUGGUAAACCUGGUGUUUCUAUUGAUACAGUA